This 484-nucleotide ribosomal RNA is filed under the name uncultured Flavobacteriales bacterium. RNAcentral describes it as "bacterial SSU rRNA". It matches the Rfam family "Bacterial small subunit ribosomal RNA", at positions 28 to 505 of the family's 1533-position model. The record is from RNAcentral. Lineage: Bacteria; Pseudomonadati; Bacteroidota; Flavobacteriia; Flavobacteriales.
GAUGAACGCUAGCGGCAGGCCUAACACAUGCAAGUCGAACGGUAACAUAGAUUGCUUGCAAUCUGAUGACGAGUGGCGAACGGGUGCGUAACGCGUAUGCAACCUACCCUUAACAGGAGGAUACCCCAGAGAAAUUUGGAAUAAUACUCCAUAGUACAACGAAUUCGCAUGUUUUUGUUGUUAAAACUACGGUGGUUAAGGAUGGGCAUGCGUGACAUUAGUUAGUUGGUGAGGUAACGGCUCACCAAGACUACGAUGUCUAGGGGUUCUGAGAGGAUGAUCCCCCACACUGGUACUGAGACACGGACCAGACUCCUACGGGAGGCAGCAGUGAGGAAUAUUGGUCAAUGGACGGAAGUCUGAACCAGCCAUGCCGCGUGAAGGAUGACUGCCCUACGGGUUGUAAACUUCUUUUAUGUAGGAAGAAACCCUCUCUCGUGAGAGAGGCUGACGGUACUACACGAAUAAGCACCGGCUAACUCCG